RNAcentral lists this ribosomal RNA (448 nucleotides) under uncultured microorganism. RNAcentral describes it as "bacterial SSU rRNA". It matches the Rfam family "Bacterial small subunit ribosomal RNA", at positions 346 to 784 of the family's 1533-position model. The record is from RNAcentral.
GCGCAGCAGGCGAGAAUAGUCUACAAUGGACGAAAGUCUGAUAGUGCGACGCCGUGUGUGCGAUUAAUUCCUUCGGGAUGUAAAGCACUUUUCUAUGAGAUAAAAGCUCUUUAGGUUAAUAGCUUAUUGAGACGGAUAUUAUUAUAGGAAUAAGCUCCGGCUAACUCCGUGCCAGCAGCCGCGGUAAUACGGAAGGAGCGAGCGUUGUCCGGAUUUACUAGGCGUAAAGGGCUAGUAGGCGACUAAUUAAGUUAUAUGUUAAAUCCCACGGCUCAACUGUGGUCCUGCAUGUAAUACUGGUUAGAUAGAGUACUGUAGAGGAAGGCAGAAUUCCUGGAGUAGCGGUGGAAUGCGCAGAUAUCAGGAAGAAUACCAAAAGCGAAGGCAGCCUUCUGGGCAGUUACUGACGCUGAAUAGCGAAGGUGUGGGUAGCGAACAGGAUUAGAUA